UUACAUUUUUGUACAUCACCUGUAGUUUUUGUGAUGUAAUCCACUUUCAAAUGAAGUACAUCUUAAUGCUCAAUUAAACAUGUUUAUUAAAAUAAGUAUCCUACAUACACAGCAGUCAAAUACAAUUCUAAACUUGUUCUAUUCUGUUUACCCUGCAGCUCCAAAUAAAGACCCUUCACACCUACCACCCUUCUAUUCAGACCACUCAGACCUACGGCUGACACCUUUAGUCUCUCUUGCUCUCUCUCUCCAUCCUCUUGAUCCAUCCUCUGGCUGCAUUUUAUAAUGGCUCCUGGCUCCAACCGUAAGCUGUGUCCUAGUUGUAAAACAGCAAUAGGAGGAGCAUCAAAAAAAGUUCCAGUUCUGUGGUGCAAAAAUAUAGCUAAAGGUCAAGUUAGAGGCCCCAAAAAAUGAAGGCAACAGAUGAAUGGGCAAAUAAGACAAUGAAACAUGGAAGAUAUGCAACCUUGGUUAAUGCAGCAAACAAGCUGGUAAGCUUUAUUAUGUUUUCCAUGAAAAAGAUUUCUGCAUUUCUAGCUUAGGGAAAUGAUAGGCCCUAUGCACUUAUUUGCUGUUGUCUCAUUUAAGACUGUAAAUCUAAAUGUCAUUAUUUGACUGAUAUUUGUUGUGUUUCUGGGAGUUAUUUUGUCAUUAAUGAUUCCAGGUACAUAGGUUCCACAAGGUAGGAGUGUACCCCCUGCUACUCCUCAGGAAGAGGAAGAGGGAUAACAUUUUGUCGUCAAAGGCACUGUCCUCACAGUGCUAUGAUGAAUCAGACCACAAUGGCAGCAAUCCAAAGGUUGUAUGAUGUAUGAGGCAAUUGUGAAAAGUAUUUGGACAGAAAUAUGUAUGCUUGUCUACCUUAAGACCCUAUCCCUCAACCACCACAUCCGUCAGACUGUAAAAAACUAAUGAUUCCACUUACGCAAAUCUGCCAAAGUCACCCCCUCCCUCUCCUGUCCUGCCGGCCGAAACUCUAAUCCAUGCUUUCAUCUCCUCUCGCGAAUAGACUUUUGCAACUCACUACUCCCCGGCACUAACACAAACUCCCUCGAUAAGCUCCAAAUGGUUCAAAACUCAGCACUCCAUCUUCUAACCCACACUAAAUCAUCCUGGCAGCAUAUCACACCCAUUCUCUGUGAACUCCACUGGCUCCUUGUCUCCCACCACAUUAAUUACAAGAUCCUCCUGACCUAAAAAGCUCUCCUCCACCUUGCCUCUCUGAACUUCUUCUCUCCUACAGUACCAGCCCUCAUGCUCUCUCUGCUCAACCACAGUUGGCCACCUUGUCAUCCCCAGG
RNAcentral lists this long non-coding RNA (1300 nucleotides) under Oncorhynchus kisutch (coho salmon). RNAcentral's name for it is "lncRNA (ENSOKIG00005002134.1)". Lineage: Eukaryota; Metazoa; Chordata; Actinopteri; Salmoniformes; Salmonidae. The record is from RNAcentral.